UAAUUGUAUUUGUUUUUUUUUAGGAGUCUGUCAUGGAAAUCCAAACUGUACAUGUAUGCAGUUAUUGUUGUUGGACUUACCAGUGGCUUAGUAGCUAUGGCUACAGCUCUUUCUGAAUUAAUCGACCUGAGAUCUCUCAUUCCUCAUUACUAUUAUUAUUAUUUCUAUGAUGUUGACAGUACUUUUAGCUAAUAAAUGUGCACUGCACACAAUCAGACUGUGGUUUAGGAUGCACACGCCGCUGUUUUAUCCAGACCACAUACAAACACAGCUCAAAAACAUCCGUCAACUUUAAAGACUAAUAUCUUCAAAAUCGACUGCAACUGCAACCCAAAGCAUAUUAUUUUUUAGUGGCUAAUCAUCUCAGUGACUAGUGCAACUGUUGCUAUCAUUGUCUGCGUUUUGUCGUCAGGUGGCAGCCACUAAACUUUCAUAAACGGCAUCCUAGCAGUUGUAGUUGACAGUGAUUACUAUUAGUUCUACGGAUGACUCUUAAAUUAAUUUUAUGCAUUGGUAAAAUGGUUCCACAUAUCACGCCCUUGUCGAUGUAAAAUAACGUUCUAGUCGUAUAGAACAGGCGUAGAUAUGUUUCCGUUUUUUGCUCAUUACAGUAAUAUUAGUGUGAUUUCCUUUGUUUCAAAUAACAAUAAUAAUAAAUGUUCAAAUGCCUAAUAUUGAUUCUGAGAAGAUAAACAUAGGAUAUUGUAAAUUUAUUUACUACGUAAUAUAUUAUUAAAAUUGUGGAUAUUAUUAUAUCAUUAUAAAAGCUAUACUCUAACUCACCACAAACUAUUAUUAAUGUUUGAAUAUUAAAUGUAACUUUUAUUUGUAUAUUGAGUACAACUUAAAUAAAUUAAAAUAAACACAUAUAUUUAUGAUCA
Molecule: long non-coding RNA, 881 nt
Organism: Myzus persicae (green peach aphid)
Lineage: Eukaryota; Metazoa; Arthropoda; Insecta; Hemiptera; Aphididae
Exons: 2
Source: RefSeq, a predicted model, not a curated record